This 253-nucleotide ribosomal RNA is filed under the name uncultured bacterium. RNAcentral describes it as "partial 16S ribosomal RNA". It matches the Rfam family "Bacterial small subunit ribosomal RNA", at positions 524 to 776 of the family's 1533-position model. The record is from RNAcentral.
UACAGAGGUCUCAAGCGUUGUUCGGAUUCAUUGGGCGUAAAGGGUGCGUAGGCGGUCGGGUAAGUCGGAUGUGAAAUCUCAGGGCUCAACCCUGAAACUGCAUUCGAUACUGCUUGGCUAGGGUACUGGAGAGGAGACUGGAAUUUACGGUGUAGCAGUGAAAUGCGUAGAUAUCGUAAGGAAGACCAGUGGCGAAGGCGAGUCUCUGGACAGUUACCGACGCUGAGGCACGAAGGCCAGGGGAGCGAACAGG